Molecule: ribosomal RNA, 406 nt
Filed under: uncultured bacterium
Lineage: Bacteria
Description: partial 16S ribosomal RNA
Rfam family: Bacterial small subunit ribosomal RNA
Source: RNAcentral
AUUGAACGCUGGCGGCAGGCCUAACACAUGCAAGUAGAACGAGUGGCGGACGGUUGAGUAAUGUCUGGGAAACUGCCCGAUGGAGUGGGAUAACUACUGGAAACGGUAGCUAAUACCGCAUACCAUCGGAUGUGCCCAGAUGGGAUUAGCUUGUAGGUUAUGUAACGGCUCACCUAGGCGACGCUCCCUAGCUGGUCUGAGAGGAUGACCAGGCAGACUGGAAGUGGGAGACGGUCCAGAGUCCUACGGGAGGCAGCAGUGGGGAAUAGUGCACUAUGGGAGCAAGCCUGAUGCAGCCAUGCCGCGUGUAUGAAGAGGGCCUUCGGGUUGUAAAGUACUUUCAGCGGGGAGGCGUUACCCGCAGAAGAAGCACCGGCUAACUCCGUGCCAGCAGCCGCGGUAAUUC